GCGUGGCUUCCGGAGCUAACGCGUUAAAUCGACCGCCUGGGGAGUACGGCCGCAAGGUUAAAACUCAAAUGAAUUGACGGGGGCCCGCACAAGCGGUGGAGCAUGUGGUUUAAUUCGAUGCAACGCGAAGAACCUUACCUACUCUUGACAUCCAGAGAACUUUCCAGAGAUGGAUUGGUGCCUUCGGGAACUCUGAGACAGGUGCUGCAUGGCUGUCGUCAGCUCGUGUUGUGAAAUGUUGGGUUAAGUCCCGCAACGAGCGCAACCCUUAUCCUUUGUUGCCAGCGGUUCGGCCGGGAACUCAAAGGAGACUGCCAGUGAUAAACUGGAGGAAGG
RNAcentral lists this ribosomal RNA (336 nucleotides) under Serratia marcescens. Its description in RNAcentral is "bacterial SSU rRNA". It matches the Rfam family "Bacterial small subunit ribosomal RNA", at positions 837 to 1173 of the family's 1533-position model. Lineage: Bacteria; Pseudomonadati; Pseudomonadota; Gammaproteobacteria; Enterobacterales; Yersiniaceae. The record is from RNAcentral.